This 425-nucleotide ribosomal RNA is filed under the name uncultured bacterium. RNAcentral describes it as "partial 16S ribosomal RNA". It matches the Rfam family "Bacterial small subunit ribosomal RNA", at positions 354 to 796 of the family's 1533-position model. The record is from RNAcentral.
GUGGGGAAUAUUGGACAAUGGGCGCAAGCCUGAUCCAGCCAUGCCGCGUGAGUGAUGAAGGCCCUAGGGUUGUAAAGCUCUUUUGUCCGGGAAGAUAAUGACUGUACCGGAAGAAUAAGCCCCGGCUAACUUCGUGCCAGCAGCCGCGGUAAUACGAAGGGGGCUAGCGUUGUUCGGAAUCACUGGGCGUAAAGCGCACGUAGGCGGACCAUUAAGUCAGGGGUGAAAGCCUGGAGCUCAACUCCAGAACUGCCUUUGAUACUGAUGGUCUCGAGUAUGGAAGAGGUUGGUGGAACUGCGAGUGUAGAGGUGAAAUUCGUAGAUAUUCGCAAGAACACCGGUGGCGAAGGCGGCCAACUGGUCCAUUACUGACGCUGAGGUGCGAAAGCGUGGGGAGCAAACAGGAUUAGAAACCCUGGUAGUCC